RNAcentral lists this long non-coding RNA (1007 nucleotides) under Pan troglodytes (chimpanzee). RNAcentral describes it as "long non-coding RNA NONPTRT018355". Lineage: Eukaryota; Metazoa; Chordata; Mammalia; Primates; Hominidae. The record is from RNAcentral.
CCCAGAGUAACCAACACCGAGACGAAUAGCGAGGGCUCGGGGAGAAAAAACGGAGGAUGGCAAACGGCAAAGCCAAGGGCACGAGGUAGCGCAGCGCGCACCCAGAGGCUCCUGGGACGGACACCACCCCACGCUCACGGGUCCUCUGGCGGUGUCCUUUGAGCUGCCGGGACGGCGCAAGGUGGCUGAGCGAGGCUUUUUGCUCGGUGCUUACAGGGAGUACCUGAGAUGGUUUGGGAAAGGAAACAGGGGGUCUCAGACCGCUUGGGUGCAGCGCUCUCCCCAUGCGUUUGAGUGCAGAUCUGUCGAGACGCCCCAGCCUUCGCCACCCCACCAAGCUCUCAGGUAGAGAGGCCCCGGGACAGGGUGAGCCCCAUAGUCCUUUGGUGGGCAUAACACAGAGGGAGGAGCAAUUGUUUACACAUGUGCCCAGUACAAGAAGGGAAACUGAUAUUUAAGACUGAAGUGGGGAAACGGGAGGGAAAGGAGCCCUUAUCCUGGAUGUUAGACGCUAUUAAGGACCAUGCUAUUUUGUAUUUGUGAGAAUGAUAUUGAAGGAAACCUGUUUAUGCACCCUGCUGCAAUCCCACCACCUGCCCAGGCCAAGUGAGCCCCUCUCCGCUACUGGUGUUUCAUAAUGCUGGGAGCUACUUUGAUUUCAUGCAUUGCCCUUCAGCUGCCAUGUUAUGAGGACACUUGGAGAAAGCUACAGGAGAGGAACUGAGGUCUCCUGCCAUCAGCCACUUGAGUGAGCAUGGGAGUGGAUUCUCCAAACUCCAGUUAAGACUUGAGAUGUCCACAGUGGCAGCCACUAGCUUGACUGCAACUUACGAGAGACACUGAGCCAGAGGCACUCAGCUAAGUCAUACACAGUUUCCUGACCCGUAAAACCUGUGACACAAUGAAGGUUUGUUGUUUUGGGGGUAAUCCGUUAUUCAGCAAUAGAUAACGAAUACAGAAGGCUUGUAAUUGUAUAACCAACGUGAGUUUAUAAGCGGAUAUCUGAC